This 5083-nucleotide long non-coding RNA is filed under the name Fragaria vesca (wild strawberry). RNAcentral describes it as "long non-coding RNA (FVES_LNC001826)". Lineage: Eukaryota; Viridiplantae; Streptophyta; Magnoliopsida; Rosales; Rosaceae. The record is from RNAcentral.
UAUGGUUUCACUGUCUCAAUGAUCUUAUUGGCUUUAGCAAUCUUCUUUUUCGACUGGUUCUUCCGGUCGGAACUAUUCCCUUAGAAACAAACAUAAAAAGAAGGCAUUUUUGCCAGGAUAUAUAUAAAUAUAUGUUGCAUAUAUAUUAUGAGUUAAUUUAGGGUACAAGCUAGUAAUUGUUGGGAGAUAUUCCCUUAGAUUUGUGAAAGUUUCUUCAUCUACACGCAAAAUUGGCACUUCCCUUUUAUGCUUCUUUAGUAUUUUUUGAGCAAGAAAAAUAAAGAUUUGGAUGAAUUAUAAGUAAUAGAAAGAGAUGCACUUGUUUGCACCAUGAACCACUCUCUUUGCCUUUGCUAGUUGGAUACACUCUCUGGAGGAAUCCCAGAUUUCCAUCCCCUCACAAAUAUGUAAAUAAAAAAAGUUUAAAAAAAAAGUACUAAAAUUUAUUUCUAGGUUUGGUGAAGAAAAUAAAAACACAAGUAACAUUUGCCACAUUGGUUAGAGGUAUUCUUCUUGGGUGAAGUUUCUUGUGGAUGUUUGACACGUGUGUCUGCAUGGGUUUUUGUUGAAAAUCCAACCGUUCAUUUCCAAGAAAUGCCUGAAAAUUUUGUUUCUAUCUGUCAGAUGACCAUCUCUCUCUCUUCCAAGUCUUGGGUUGCUCACUGAUUUUGAAUUUUCAUAUUUCAGAUUUUGUAAAUUUUGAAAAUAAUGAUAAUAGUUUUUGCUACUAGUUGGCUUUGUUCUGUAUCACACUUCACAUUUCAGUCAACAAUGUGCUGUUCACCUUUUUAUGGGGCAGCAGAGCUAGCUAGCUCAGCUAUAUCUUUUCUGGUGUAAGAUUUCUGGGUUUAAGAUUGCUGCCAGUCCAAUAGGGUCUGUGAAAACACAAUGGAAAAGGACUACCAUUAUUAAUAAAUAUUACAGAAAAGAACCAAUUCCAAUGUUUAAGUAGGGCCCUUGUGAGGUAGAAGUAGGUUUUGACUGGUCUAGUCUCAAUCUUAGUGAGGUGGACAUCUGAUAAUGAUGCCUCAGCUUCAAGUCUUCUUCAUGUUCAGGUCUGAACUCUGAAGCAGUUCAUCAGAAACCUCAUAAUUCAAUAUCAUUCAUUUCAUUUUUGAUUUUGGGUUUGUUUUUGAAUUCUCAUUUGAAAAUUAUAUAGUUAACUUUUGAGUCAUUUUGAUUCCCAUUUUGAUUCCUAAAGAGUGUAAUUGGUUUGUGUCUUUACAAGCAUGGUCUGCUGGCCACCAAAGCAAAUGGUCCUCUUCUGCACCACUUUGAGCACUUUUACCCUUUAUGGUUUUGACCUCUAUGCUCAUUUUAUUUGCUGUGUCCAGGGUCGUGUGAAAAUGUAAAAUUGUAAAUAAGGUGUAUGUGUUGGAAUUUAAGAGUGACAAAUAACCACAUGUAAUGCAAAUUUGCAGCACGGCCGGAGGCACAAGUACUACACCAAACACAACUCCGACCACAACUACAACCAUUCCAAGUCCACCAACGACGACAACGACGAAUCCGACCUUUGGCAAUGGCGUGGUGGGUGGACUCACUCCAGUAACAACUCCGGCUGUCCCCGAUGAUUCAAAAGCAGCAUCCCUUCAAUUCAUGCUUCCAACAUUGAUUUCUGUCUCCUUUAUUUUUUACAUGUUCUUUUAGUUACCUUGACUAAAACCCAUCUAGGAUUGGUUAGUUUUAAAUUUUUACUAAUCAGAGGAAGAACAGCAUUGGAGGCAUUAUGGAAGAAGAGGUUACACAUUUUUGUUAGAGGUUGGAAUCUUCUUUGUACAACUCCAUCUAGCUCAUUAAGCUAAGCCUCAUGGUAAUGAUCUGAACCUGCUAGGCCUCGAUCUCAAAAUCAAAUCAAUUCAAUAGUUCAAUUGUGAACCUUGCAGGUCCCAAAUUCAAUCGUAUUACUGUUAUGUUUAAGACAUUGACUUGCAUAAUGGAAAGAAAUACUACAAUGGACAUUAACAAUGUUUCUUUUUGUUAUAUACUAUAAGUACCAUUUCACCCUAUUUGAUAUCCUAAUUUGACCUAAAUAGAUGGAUUACGGGUUAACAUAUUUAAGUUUUGCUCCCGGUCGGCCAUGUGCUACGUUAAUUUUGUACAGACUAAGCCCUAAGACCAUCUCUCAUCAUAGGUUAAAAAGCCAAAUUUAGCCUAUAGUUACUCCCACCAUAAGCCAAAUUACAAUUUUCAAGACAAAAAAUUUAGCUUGAGCUAUUUUGUAAGCCAAAUUUGGCUUAUGGAGUUGGUAGGCUAAAACUAACUAUUAUUUUAUUUAAUUUUAAAUAUUGUUCUUCUAAUUUACACUAGCAUCUAAAUUAAAAAUUUGUUACUAACAAAAUUUUAUACUAUCGCGACAUUCUCGACAAGAUCUUUCAUAUGAGCCUCAUAUCGAAUAUAUUUAUAUAAUUUUUUUUUUCAUGGUUAAUUAUUGAAUUAAACAAAUAUAUACCAAAAGAAAAAAAAAUGGCUUUACCUUAGGAUUUGGCUUAUGGUGGGAGUGCUUCGUAAGCCAAAAUACUCUUAAUUUGGCCAAGGAUUUAGCUUAUGGUGGGAGAAUUUGAUAAGCUAAAAAAAAAUUCUAUAGAAUAUUCUUGUUUUGUAAGUUAAAUUUAGCUUGAAAUUUGGCUUAUGGUGGGAGAUGUUCUAAACUCUAAACAGAUCACACCUCUUUUAUAUCGUGAUAGCAUCAAUGGCUGUUGAAUGAAAUAUUCUGUUUUAACUUCCUCCAAUAUAUCAAAUUACAAAGUAAAAAUGAACAAGCUUAUAAAUCAUUCUACUGUCAAACUAGCUCUCUCCAUAAUUCCAAAUAUAUGAUGCUUAUCUUAUUAUUAUUUUUUUUUUUGAAAGUAUGAUGCUUAUCUUAUCAUCGAUGAAGAAAUAUAACUUCUUAUAUGAGAAGAAAUACGAGUCUUCAAGCUGUAUUCAUGUGUCAUUCAAAUUGCUAGCACUGUUUGUCAGGCAUAAUAAAUUUUCUUUAGAAUGCUAAAUUUGUGAAUCACUAAUCACUACUAGAUUGUGAUCCAGCUUUCGCUAAAUAUCUGGAGUCUUGUAUGAGAACGGAAACAGUGAAACGCCAACCCCUGAAGUAAACCAUAUGUACAAAGUUAUACUGAGGCUUAAAUAACAAUUUUAUAAGUGUUGAAACAGGACAAAUGAGAUCAAAUUAUAACUUGGAUAUCAAGAAAUUCAAGAUUAUACAGCUCAGAACUAGAGAUGCGAACUGAAACAAUGUACAAUAUUAGAAAUCUGUAAUCAGUAUUAUUCAUAUAGCAAUGUUCUUCGUUUCUUGCUCUUCAUUGUUUAUGUACCAUUGGCCUUAACUAGACAUAUAUUAGGCUGCCUUACUAUGUGAACUUGAACUCCAGCAUGAUUGUAAAAGUCCUGAUUCCGGUGCCAUGUCCAUAAAGCAUGAGUGUCAUUAGCCACCCAUAAAUACUGCUUAGCUUACUACCUUUGUGAACAUGUUGCAUGGUUAUUUGUACAUACAAAUGCAGAACUAGUUUCCAGCAUCCUGCAAUGUAGUUUUUCACUCAAAGCAGUACCGAUAACGACCUUAGCCGUAUACGUGAUCACAUUACUAUGAUUUACAACUUGAAAUCUUACUUUUCAGUUUUCACCAUUCAAACUGCACUAGUGGUUCUUACCAUCCCAAAUGCAGUAGUAAACGAAAAACUUUUGCUGAUCACUCAAAUUGUCAAACAUACAACUUGGUACUUGCUUCAAAUCCAGAAUCAAAUUCAAGUGUUUCUGCAACAGAUAGAAAAACCAUCAGCAAAUGCUAACAAAAUUGCAAUGGUGUACCUGUUCUUUUGACCCUCAUUUUAUCCUAAAAAAUUUCCUUCUCAAAGAUUUUGUGUUUAGGCGAGGACAUUGGUUUGAGAUAUAGACGGUUGAUAAAAUAUAGUAAUAUCAAGAAUAAUUUGUCAAUACAAACAACAGAACUUGGUGUGCUUUUCCAAAGCUUAUGACAGAUUGGAAUGGGUCAAUCAAAUCAUGCAGUAACCUACUCUAUCUUGCUGAAUGGACGACAACCAACAAAUAUCAUCAACCCUACUAGAGGUAUUAGACAAGGUGAUCCACUCUCCCCCUACCUCUUUAUACUAUGUGCCGAAGGCCUCUCUUCACUUAUAUCUCAAGCAAUUGAAAAUGGUAUAGUGCAAGGUUUGAAAAUGAGUCCAACUGCACCAGUGCUACACCACUUGUUCUUCGCAGAUGACAGCUUUAUCUUUGGUUUUGCUUCUGAAAUUGAAUGUCACAACUUUAGACACAUGUUGAAUGUUUAUGAAGCUUCAUCUGGUCAGAAAAUAAACGAGCAGAAGAGUAGUGUGGUUUUCAGCUCUAAUGCGAAACCUCAACAACAAGCUAUGCUUGCAGAUGUACUUCAGGUCACCAAAGUAAAUGAGCAUGACAGAUAUUUGGGGUUGCCUCUAAAGGUUGGUCGAUCUAACACAGCCAUAUUUGCUUACAUAAAAGGAAAAAUUACAAACAAGCUCUCUGGAUGGAAAUCAAAGCCCCUUUCAAGUUCAGGCAAAGAAACUCUCAUCAAGGCAGUUGCUCAGACAAUGCCCUUAUAUGCUAUGCAUAAUGUAUUGCUACUUGUUUCCGAAAUCAGUGUGAUGGCAUACACCAAUUGUGUGCAGGCUUUUUUUUUGGGGUGAUGAUGAGAACAAGAAGAAGAUUCAUUGGAGGAGUUGGGAAAGCCUUUGUCUCACAAAAGAUGGGGGAGGCUUAGGUUUUAAAAAUCUAUAUGCUUAAAACUUAGCUAUGCUAGCUAAACAAGCUUGGAGAAUUGUGAAAAAUCCGGACUAUUUGGCAGCACAAGUUUUUAAAGCCAGGUACUAUCCCUACCGCUCAUUUUAUUUGCUGUGACCAGGGUUGUGUAAAAUUGUAAAUAAGGUGUAUGUGUUGGAAUUUAAGAGUGACAAAUAACCAUAUGUAAUGCAAAUUUGCAGCACGGCCGGAGGCACAAGUACUACACCAAACACAACUCCGACCACAACUACAACCAUUCCAAGUCCACCAACGACGACAACGACGAAUUCGACCUUUGGCAAUGGCGUGGUGGGUGGACUCACUCCCG